Long non-coding RNA from Triticum dicoccoides, 1865 nucleotides. RefSeq lists it as uncharacterized. The transcript is spliced from 3 exons. The record is from RefSeq and is a predicted model, not a curated record. Lineage: Eukaryota; Viridiplantae; Streptophyta; Magnoliopsida; Poales; Poaceae.
UUCAUGCUCGGAAUCAUAGGCACGGAGAUGUUGUGGUCCAAGGUUCAAGUGAAGGAAGAGGAUUAUCGUACGAGAGAGAACAGUGGAACAUGAGAAGUGCCUUGCGUGAUCCAUGUGCUUGGGUCAUCCCGGUGCUCCUCUAUUCCUCCUCUGCUCAGCGACGUGGUCACUGCUGUGCUGCUGGAUGGUGGAAGCUGGUGCUUGACUGUGGGGGCACAGCAGAACCACUCCUCCAGCUGCCACUGCUGUUACCUCAUGCGACCGCUGCUAUUGAUAGGUACAUUCUUUUAUUCGUAAGUAAAGCCAUUGUCAAAACCAACAAUUUGCAUCAUCACUGAGCAUGAUUGCUACAUAAUUAGCAUGAGAUCUUUAGACAUGUGAAUGUCCAACUGCCAUUGUCAACGUGACAGUGAGAAGAACAUCGUUAUAGAGUAUCUUCCAAGUUAGAGAUGGCAUCCUGCAAGGUGUGGGCGUUCGUCAAGCUGUCGCGGGAGUCCGUCGUCAUGCUCUUCAAUAAGAUUUUGUACCUCUUCAUGCUCAUUGUCCUGACAAGCGACAUCCAAUAUGGGUAGAUUUUUGUUCAUUCACUGAGUAUCUGGUACUUACCGGCUACUCUUAUUACUUGACUGCUGAGCUCACAAUCAGAACGGCAAUUUGAUGAGAACAUUCUGAAGUAACUAAAUAAGCUUCCUUCCCUUUUAUUCUACAUGCUUUGAAUACUAACUAUAGCUGACAAAGCACUUUUUCAGCAUGUUCAUAGAGGCAUCGAAAGGUAUGCUCUCCAUGUCCCUCGAUGCUGCUAUCAGGUUAGAUUAGUUAAAGCUACACAUAAUAACUUUUGCUCUUUGCUCUAAUUCUCAUCUUGUUGAGGAUUAAUUUCUUGGCAAGCAGUUUGAUCAGAUAACUCUUUGUAGUGGUACAAUUUCCCAGUCACAAUUUUUUUCCUUUAUCCCCAAGGAUAAGUUGGAGUAUAAAAUUGAAAUCUGAAAUUGAAGUGGAUAUUGUUAGGCAGCGCAUAUUGUUGUAGAUCUAUGCCUGCCUGCACUAUGCACCAUUUCAUUCAGGCAGAUUGGAUGUAACAUAAAUUUAUUGUAACAUCCAGAAAAAUUAGCAAGCUAGCUCAAAAUACAUGGAUAUGCUAUUGAGUUAUCGGUUGUGAAAUAUUUGAAGCUGCCCAAAAGAGAAAUAGAGGUUCAGAGCCAUCACCCACUCAACCUGCAGAGAGUUGCAUGGGGAAAACUACCUUUAAUAUACAAGAGUUCCUUCUUGCACCUACACUAUAAAAAUAGGGAUAUGAAAGACAUUGGAUCAUAGUUCACUGAACAUUGUUUUACUCUUUGCUCCAUGCUAUUUAAAUUACAUAUUAUAGCAAUUAGAAUAUUCCUACGUGUCUGGCUAUGUCUUGCCUUGCUACUUGGGCGCCAUCGAUGUCCGUUUAUCGGUUUCUAUGCAGAUAAACAGAGCAAAAUACGUCAAGUGUCAUAAUAUUUGUACCUACUACUGAUACAUGAUUUUUUUUGCUGAAGCUCUCAAAGGUGUAGCAUGCAAGCUUUAUAAUAUAGGUUUGAUUUCAGAGUUGAUCUGUGGAUUAUGAUUGUAACUUGGUUCAUUUCUGCGACUGGAGUGACUGAACACAUGCAGCCCUGCAGGCGGACACCUCGAAACAGAUACCUCAAUGUCCUGGCAAGUUCUACUCCUGAAAUCAGCGUCUGUGGCUUGAGCAAAUGUCAUCGGCAUCCGGUGGUAGAUUUUUAAUGUAUCUUGUAUAAUGUAUGUAACCUGCUAAUUUUGCAAGGCAGUUUCUGAAAUGUAACUUCAAAUGACUUCCUUUCAUCACUUUUGAAAUAAGGAAAUCCGCGCAUCUA